This 533-nucleotide ribosomal RNA is filed under the name uncultured bacterium. RNAcentral's name for it is "bacterial SSU rRNA". It matches the Rfam family "Bacterial small subunit ribosomal RNA", at positions 774 to 1304 of the family's 1533-position model. The record is from RNAcentral.
AGAUAAUAGAUACCCUGGUAGUCCACGCCGUAAACGAUGAGUGCUAGGUGUUAGGGGUUUCGAUGCCCGUAGUGCCGAAAGUUAAACACAUUAAGCACUCCGCCUGGGGAGUACGGCCGCAAGGCUGAAACUCAAAGGAAUUGACGGGGGCCCGCACAAGCAGUGGAGCAUGUGGUUUAAUUCGAAGCAACGCGAAGAACCUUACCAGGUCUUGACAUCCUUUGACCACUCUGGAGACAGAGCUUCCCCUUCGGGGGCAAAGUGACAGGUGGUGCAUGGUUGUCGUCAGCUCGUGUCGUGAGAUGUUGGGUUAAGUCCCGCAACGAGCGCAACCCUUGACCUUAGUUGCCAGCAUUUAGUUGGGCACUCUAAGGUGACUGCCGGUGACAAACCGGAGGAAGGUGGGGAUGACGUCAAAUCAUCAUGCCCCUUAUGACCUGGGCUACACACGUGCUACAAUGGAUGGUACAAAGGGUUGCGAAGCCGCGAGGUGAAGCCAAUCCCAUAAAGCCAUUCUCAGUUCGGAUUGUAGG